This 421-nucleotide ribosomal RNA is filed under the name uncultured bacterium. Its description in RNAcentral is "partial 16S ribosomal RNA". It matches the Rfam family "Bacterial small subunit ribosomal RNA", at positions 360 to 773 of the family's 1533-position model. The record is from RNAcentral.
AAUAUUUUACAAGGGGGGCAACCCUGAUCCAGCCAUGCCGCGCGUGUGAAGAAGGACUUCGGAUUGUUAAGCACUUUAAGUUGGGAGGAAGGGCUUUAGGUUAAUACCCUACAGUUUUGACGUUACCAACAGAAUAAGCACCGGACAACUCUGUUCCAGCAGCCGCGGUAAUACAGAGGGUGCAAGCGUUAAUUGGAAUUACUGGGCGUAAAGCGCGCGUAGGUGGUUCAGUAAGAUGGGUGUGAAAUCCCCGGGCUUAACCUGGGAACUGCUUUCAUAACUGCUGAGCUAGAGUACGGUAGAGGGUAGUGGAAUUUCCUGUGUAGCGGUGAAAUGCGUAGAUAUAGGAAGGAACACCAGUGGCGAAGGCGACUACCUGGACUGAUACUGACACUGAGAUGCGAAAGAGUGGGGAGCAAAC